This 24-nucleotide non-coding RNA is filed under the name Arabidopsis thaliana (thale cress). The record is from RNAcentral. Lineage: Eukaryota; Viridiplantae; Streptophyta; Magnoliopsida; Brassicales; Brassicaceae.
GUUUCGAAGUCGAAUUUUUCAGAU